UACAGAGGGUGCGAGCGUUAAUCGGAAUUACUGGGCGUAAAGCGUGCGUAGACGGCUAUCUAAGUCGGGUGUGAAAGCCCCGGGCUCAACCUGGGAAUUGCAUUCGAGACUGAAUAGCUAGGGUACGGUAGAGGGAAGCGGAAUUUCCGGUGUAGCGGUGAAAUGCGUAGAUAUCGGGAGGAACACCAGUGGCGAAGGCGACUACCUGGCCUGUUUCUUGACGCUGAGGCGCGAAAGCUAGGGGAGCAAACGGG
RNAcentral lists this ribosomal RNA (254 nucleotides) under uncultured bacterium. RNAcentral describes it as "partial 16S ribosomal RNA". It matches the Rfam family "Bacterial small subunit ribosomal RNA", at positions 524 to 776 of the family's 1533-position model. The record is from RNAcentral.